This 320-nucleotide long non-coding RNA is filed under the name Brassica napus (rape). RNAcentral describes it as "long non-coding RNA (BNAP_LNC017595)". Lineage: Eukaryota; Viridiplantae; Streptophyta; Magnoliopsida; Brassicales; Brassicaceae. The record is from RNAcentral.
AACCAUAGUUAGUUUGGUUUGGUUCGACUGGGUUUGUGUUCGGUUCAGUUUAUAUUCAGUUUGGUUUGUAUACGGUUCGGUUGGAUUUAUUUUUUUGGAUCAGUUUACUUAACUUCUUCUUAGUUUUAUUUUUUUUAAGAGAAAUUAUGUUUUUUUUUUGUCAAGAAACGGCUAUUCUAUUAGUCAAACAUGAAGUGGUCUAGGUAACCAGACCGGAAUAGAACAACCAAUAAAACAAAGAGAUCUAUGAAAAGAUCGAGCAUUCCUAGCUAAAGAAUCAGCAAUUUCAUUAUGUGUUCUUGGCACGUAGGUGAUCUUGA